This 240-nucleotide unclassified non-coding RNA is filed under the name soil metagenome. RNAcentral describes it as "partial contains 5.8S ribosomal RNA, internal transcribed spacer 2, and large subunit ribosomal RNA". The record is from RNAcentral.
AACUGAUACUACCUGCGGGAACCUGCGGAAGGAUCAUUACAGAGUUUUCUAAACUCCCAAACCCAUGUGAACUUACCAUUGUUGCCUCGGCGGAGCCUACCCUGUAGCUACCCUAUAAGGUGGUUACCCUGUAGCGCCCCGCCGGUGGAUUUUCAAACUCUUGUUAUUUAUAGUAAUCUGAGAGUCUUAUUUUAAAUAAGUCAAAACUUUCAACAACGGAUCUCUAGAUCGGAAGAGCAC